RNAcentral lists this unclassified non-coding RNA (348 nucleotides) under soil metagenome. RNAcentral describes it as "partial contains 5.8S ribosomal RNA, internal transcribed spacer 2, and large subunit ribosomal RNA". The stretch from base 1 to 120 matches the Rfam family "5.8S ribosomal RNA", at positions 35 to 154 of the family's 154-position model. The record is from RNAcentral.
GAUGAAGAACGCAGCGAAAUGCGAUAAGUAAUGUGAAUUGCAGAAUUCAGUGAAUCAUCGAAUCUUUGAACGAACAUUGCGCCCGCCAGUAUUCUGGCGGGCAUGCCUGUCUGAGCGUCAUUUCAACCCUCAUGCCCCUAGGGCGUGGUGUUGGGGAUCGGCCAAAGCCCGCGAGGGACGGCCGGCCCCUAAAUCUAGUGGCGGACCCGUCGUGGCCUCCUCUGCGAAGUAGUGAUAUUCCGCAUCGGAGAGCGAUGAGCCCCUGCCGUUAAACCCCCAACUUUCCAAGGUUGACCUCAGAUCAGGUAGGAAUACCCGCUGAACUUAAGCAUAUCAAUAAGCGGAGGA